This 429-nucleotide ribosomal RNA is filed under the name Actinomycetes bacterium. RNAcentral describes it as "Actinobacteria bacterium partial 16S ribosomal RNA". It matches the Rfam family "Bacterial small subunit ribosomal RNA", at positions 355 to 776 of the family's 1533-position model. Lineage: Bacteria; Bacillati; Actinomycetota; Actinomycetes. The record is from RNAcentral.
UAGGGAAUCUUCCGCAAUGGGCGAAAGCCUGACGGAGCAACGCCGCGUGAGUGAUGAAGGUCUUCGGAUCGUAAAACUCUGUUAUUAGGGAAGAACAAAUGUGUAAGUAACUAUGCACGUCUUGACGGUACCUAAUCAGAAAGCCACGGCUAACUACGUGCCAGCAGCCGCGGUAAUACGUAGGUGGCAAGCGUUAUCCGGAAUUAUUGGGCGUAAAGCGCGCGUAGGCGGUUUUUUAAGUCUGAUGUGAAAGCCCACGGCUCAACCGGGGAGGGUCAUUGGAAACUGGAAAACUUGAGUGCAGAAGAGGAAAGUGGAAUUCCAUGUGUAGCGGUGAAAUGCGCAGAGAUAUGGAGGAACACCAGUGGCGAAGACGACUUUCUGGUCUGUAACUGACGCUGAUGUGCGAAAGCGUGGGGAUCAAACAGG